Molecule: ribosomal RNA, 498 nt
Filed under: Staphylococcus haemolyticus
Lineage: Bacteria; Bacillati; Bacillota; Bacilli; Caryophanales; Staphylococcaceae
Description: bacterial SSU rRNA
Rfam family: Bacterial small subunit ribosomal RNA
Source: RNAcentral
CUAUACAUGCAGUCGAGCGACAGACAGAGGAGCUUGCUCCUUUGACGUUAGCGGCGGACGGGUGAGUAACACGUGGGUAACCUACCUAUAAGACUGGGAUAACUUCGGGAAACCGGAGCUAAUACCGGAUAAUAUUUCGAACCGCAUGGUUCGAUAGUGAAAGAUGGUUUUGCUAUCACUUAUAGAUGGACCCGCGCCGUAUUAGCUAGUUGGUAAGGUAACGGCUUACCAAGGCGACGAUACGUAGCCGACCUGAGAGGGUGAUCGGCCACACUGGAACUGAGACACGGUCCAGACUCCUACGGGAGGCAGCAGUAGGGAAUCUUCCGCAAUGGGCGAAAGCCUGACGGAGCAACGCCGCGUGAGUGAUGAAGGUCUUCGGAUCGUAAAACUCUGUUAUUAGGGAAGAACAUACGUGUAAGUAACUAUGCACGUCUUGACGGUACCUAAUCAGAAAGCCACGGCUAACUACGUGCCAGCAGCCGCCCGGGUAAUAAA